GAUCCUGGCUCAGAAUCAACGCUGGCGGCGUGCCUCAGACAUGCAAGUCGAACGAGAACCUCCCUUCGGGGAGGGGAAAGUGGCGCACGGGUGAGUAACACGUGGGUAAUUUACCUUUGGGUGGGGAACAACAGCCGGAAACGGCUGCUAAUACCGCAUAAUGCAGCGGCUCGACAUCGAGACAGUUGUUAAAGCGGGGGAUCGCAAGACCUCGCGCCUGAAGAGAAGCCCGCGGCAGAUUAGCUAGUUGGUAGGGUAAUGGCCUACCAAGGCGACGAUCUGUAACCGGCCUGAGAGGGCGGUCGGUCACACUGACACUGACAUACGGGUCAGACUCCUACGGGAGGCGGCAGUCGGGAAUUUUGGGCAAUGGGCGAAAGCCUGACCCAGCAACGCCGCGUGAAGGAUGAAGCUUUUCGGAGUGUAAACUUCACAAGAAUGGGAAGAAUAAGUGUGGGAUAAUACCCUUCACGAUGACGGUACCAUUUGUAAGCUCCGGCUAACUCCGUGCCAGCAGCCGCGGUAAUACGGGGGGAGCAAGCGUUGUUCGGAUUUACUGGGCGUAAAGGGCGCGUAGGCGGCGCGACAAGUCACUUGUGAAAUCUCUGGGCUCAACCCAGAACGGUCAAGUGAUACUGUCGUGCUAGAGUGCGGAAGGGGCAACUGGAAUUCUUGGUGUAGCGGUGAAAU
This 690-nucleotide ribosomal RNA is filed under the name uncultured Acidobacteriota bacterium. RNAcentral describes it as "bacterial SSU rRNA". It matches the Rfam family "Bacterial small subunit ribosomal RNA", at positions 15 to 687 of the family's 1533-position model. The record is from RNAcentral. Lineage: Bacteria; Pseudomonadati; Acidobacteriota.